GAUGAACGCUGGCGGCGUGCCUAAUACAUGCAAGUCGAGCGAACGGACGAGAAGCUUGCUUUUCUGAUGUUAGCGGCGGACGGGUGAGUAACACGUGGAUAACCUACCUAUAAGACUGGGAUAACUUCGGGAAACCGGAGCUAAUACCGGAUAAUAUUUUGAACCGCAUGGUUCAAAAGUGAAAGACGGUCUUGCUGUAACUUAUAGAUGGAUCCGCGCUGCAUUAGCUAGUUGGUAAGGUAACGGCUUACCAAGGCAACGAUGCAUAGCCGACCUGAGAGGGUGAUCGGCCACACUGGAACGGAGACACGGUCCAGACUCCUACGGGAGGCAGCAGUAGGGAAUCUUCCGCAAUGGGCGAAAGCCUGACGGAGCAACGCCGCGUGAGUGAUGAAGGUCUUCGGAUCGUAAAACUCUGUUAUUAGGGAAGAACAUAUGUGUAAGUAACUGUGCACAUCUUGACGGUACCUAAUCAGAAAGCCACGGCUAACUACGUG
Molecule: ribosomal RNA, 497 nt
Filed under: uncultured bacterium
Lineage: Bacteria
Description: partial 16S ribosomal RNA
Rfam family: Bacterial small subunit ribosomal RNA
Source: RNAcentral